RNAcentral lists this non-coding RNA (45 nucleotides) under Schistosoma mattheei. Lineage: Eukaryota; Metazoa; Platyhelminthes; Trematoda; Strigeidida; Schistosomatidae. The record is from RNAcentral.
AUCCAACUAACAAGUCUCCAAUAGGACGAAACACGUGUCCUGGAU